CGUGAUCGGGCAGGAGUCUGCUGUGCUCCUGUUGGGUAAUGAUUAAUCGUUAUUGUUCUCCUUUUUGUUUCUUUUUUGUUUAUUGGUCUUUGGACAUAAUUAAUUAGUGGGGAAAUACUAGGAAAAAGAAUAAUGGAAUCUUUUUUCCUAAAUGACAUAAAGUUACUGUUUCUUGUCUUGCUUAUUUAAACAAAUUGCUAACUAUCAUUCUUAUAAAUUUUAUGGUCUCAUUAUUUUCACAAAUGGACCUUUUGAUUAUGAUAGUGACUAAAGAAUAUUAAUUCCCAUUGCCACCAUUUAUCUAGUCUAGUUUCUCUAUAAAUUGAUCUACGAUGUCUUGUGGCUAACCUUCGGCUAUGAUUUUGAGUCACAUUGCCAUGAUUUUUAUUUUUCUUUUUAGUUGCUGUUACUUAAAUAACGUAGAUGCAUAUUCUUCCAUUUUACUUGAAGUUAGAUUGGUUCAUGAAGUCCGAGAAGCUGCACAAGUGGUAGAGUCAAAAGCACAAGUAGCCAUGACUUGGGUAUGUCCAGUUUGCUCUUCUAGCAGUUUUUUGUCUUAUUUUAUUUGUUUUGUUGUUUACUCGUAAAUUUUGGACAAGAACCAUAAUAAAGAUGACCUUACUCGUAAAUUUCAAUAGCCAUAUACACCAGGCCAAGUGAAAUGAAAUUGAUGUUUGUCACUUCGUAUUUAUUUUAAGGUAUACCAUGAUCAAUUACUUUUUCUCUUUAUUUUUGGUUCUAGGACUUCUCAGUCUCACAGACUAAAAUAAAGCAUAUGGCAUACAGCAAUCCGGUAUCCGCUAACCAUGUUACAAGCUACAAAUCUGGUCCAAAUGCUUGCUUGCCAAGACGAGAUCACCAUGGUUGUGGGAUGUCUUCAAUAUGGGUUGAAUAUUUUGUACUAUUUUAAUAAGUUAUUUUUGGAGUAGUAAUUGAUACUUUUGGUAUAUUGAUGUCGACUUUUUGACUAGGCUAAUGAUGUUCUUAGUAAUCAUUUAGAUUAACUCUACAUUUUGGUAUAUUGUAUUUGAUUGCACUUAAUACUUUUAUUCAUUGAAAUUAUGGAAAACAUGAUUAUAUUA
Molecule: long non-coding RNA, 1082 nt
Filed under: Olea europaea (common olive)
Lineage: Eukaryota; Viridiplantae; Streptophyta; Magnoliopsida; Lamiales; Oleaceae
Description: long non-coding RNA (OEUR_LNC002823)
Source: RNAcentral